AAAACGGCCCUUUUUAGGGCCACAAAUCUUAAUAAGUAUUUAUUUGU
RNAcentral lists this non-coding RNA (47 nucleotides) under Cinara cedri. It matches the Rfam family "Histone 3' UTR stem-loop". Rfam says of the family: The mRNAs of metazoan histone genes lack a poly-A tail. Lineage: Eukaryota; Metazoa; Arthropoda; Insecta; Hemiptera; Aphididae. The record is from RNAcentral.